UAGCAUGCUGCCCUUGGUCCCUUUCUCUAGUCUCGGUGGACUACUUCACAGCAUGGCAGCUGGAAUUAUCCAGUGAAUGAGCAAGAAGAGCCAGAGACACCGGGAGCAAGAUACUGGGAGUGCUGCAGAAUAGAAGACAAUUCCUGUUUUAAGUGCAUUAAGGAUGUGCGCUGCCCUAGGAGGCCAACAAGCCAGCUGCAAGCAGGAAAAUCCGAGAAAACACAAGCCCUUAUCAAAGCCUCAUGGCUGCCAUGGCUGUGGGGCUCUUGGAGAUCGAGGACUUACUGUAAAGCACAGGCCAGUGCUGCUGGGUUCCAUCACGUGUUCUCCUUCUUUGUAUUAUUGACCAUGAAGACAGUUGUGACAUUCCAGCUCCAUUAGUACCUGGUGCAUUACUUUCUAGCUUUGCUUGGGAGGACGGAGAUGGAAUGGAGAUUACAGAGGAGAGGUGUUUGGUCAGAACGUUGGGACUGAGGCGC
Molecule: long non-coding RNA, 479 nt
Organism: Chinchilla lanigera (long-tailed chinchilla)
Lineage: Eukaryota; Metazoa; Chordata; Mammalia; Rodentia; Chinchillidae
Exons: 3
Source: RefSeq, a predicted model, not a curated record